AGUGAACGCUGGCGGCAGGCCUAACACAUGCAAGUCGAGCGGCAGCGGGUCCUUCGGGAUGCCGGCGAGCGGCGGACGGGUGAGGAAUGCAUCGGAAUCUGCCCUGUCGUGGGGGAUAACCUAGGGAAACUUAGGCUAAUACCGCAUACGACCCACGGGUGAAAGCGGGGGAUCGCAAGACCUCGCGCGAUAGGAUGAGCCGAUGUCCGAUUAGCUAGUUGGCGGGGUAAAGGCCCACCAAGGCGAGGAUCGGUAGCUGGUCUGAGAGGAUGAUAGGCCACACUGGGACUGAAACACGGCCCAGACUCCUACGGGAGGCAGCAGUGGGGAAUAUUGGACAAUGGGCGCAAGCCUGAUCCAGCCAUGCCGCGUGGGUGAAGAAGGCCUUCGGGUUGUAAAGCCCUUUUGUCCGGGAAGAAAUCGUCUGGGCUAAUACCCCGGGCGGAUGACGGUACCGGAAGAAUAAGCACCGGCUAACUUCGUG
RNAcentral lists this ribosomal RNA (484 nucleotides) under uncultured bacterium. RNAcentral's name for it is "partial 16S ribosomal RNA". It matches the Rfam family "Bacterial small subunit ribosomal RNA", at positions 30 to 507 of the family's 1533-position model. The record is from RNAcentral.